CCUACGGGGGGCAGCAGUGGGGAAUAUUGCACAAUGGGGGGAACCCUGAUGCAGCAACGCCGCGUGGGUGAAGAAGUACUUCGGUACGUAAAGCCCUGUCAGCAGGGAAGAAAAUGACGGUACCUGACCAAGAAACCCCGGCUAACUACGUGCCAGCAGCCGCGGUAAUACGGAGGGGGCAAGCGUUAUCCGGAUGUACUGGGUGUAAAGGGAGCGUAGACGGCAAGGCAAGUCUGGAGUGAAAGCCCGGGGCUCAACCACGGGACUGCUUUGGAAACUGUGUUGCUGGAGUGCAGGAGGGGUAAGCGGAAUUCCUGGUGUAGCGGUGAAAUGCGUAGAUAUUAGGAGGAACACCGGUGGCGAAGGCGGCUUACUGGACUGUAACUGACGUUGAGGCUCGAAGGCGUGGGGAGCAAACAGGAUUAGAUACCCGGGUAGUC
This 440-nucleotide ribosomal RNA is filed under the name uncultured bacterium. RNAcentral's name for it is "partial 16S ribosomal RNA". It matches the Rfam family "Bacterial small subunit ribosomal RNA", at positions 338 to 795 of the family's 1533-position model. The record is from RNAcentral.